UGCAUUCCUGGACUCCACUCUCAUCUGCCCAUGCACUUCCUCACCAUCCUGCCUGCCUGAAGAUUCAAGAAUGUUAAGGAUUCCCAUCUGGCUUGGGUGUGCCCCUUAAUAAAUGUAACACAUGGAACGAUGCCCUCUUUGGAUCCUAGGCCCUGCCCUGGCUUCUUGGUUGACUUUGGUGAAUGGAGCAAUAGCUAAAACACCUUAUCAGGAGCCUGUAUUUACACAUGUCACCAUCAAGUGAUGCCUGUUAAUCCUAAAAUAGGAAGGGAUGAAGAGUGAUCAUCUUGCCUAUCAUUUUCCUCCAGUAAGAAAGGAGACUCCACUGCCUACAAUGACAGAGCUUUCUGACUCCUGUGAAACUUCAUGUCUUUUUGCUGAUGUUAAAGAUGAAUUCUACCAACUAAGGUGAGCAGAACAGAUCUUUGGCUCCACCGCCCUCCUAUUCUUGGAAACAGUUGUUCUGAUGAUAUCUCUGGCUCAUCACAACUCCAUGCCUUUGAUCUCUCCAUCAUUUUCUCCACUGUGCCUAAAGGAGAUAACCCAGCUGGACUGUAUCUCUCAUCCUGCAAUUAACACAUCUUAAGAGAAAGGUAGGGAAGAUGAAUCCCUCUUAUCACCACCCUUCACCUCAAAGCCUGUUUUCAGUAGUGUUUUUACCUAGGAAAGCCACUACAAAACUCUUAAGGGCAUGGGGGGACACAUUAAGAAGCAUUAGGCAAGUUGCUCAAUCUUUCUGGAGCCCACACCUUCACCUGUGACACCAAGACCCCGUGUUCCAUCACUCUGUGAGCCUGUAGUUCUAAACCAUUCAUUCUUUUAGUGAUGGUGGUCACACAAGGGAAGCCCCUCACAUCCCUCCAU
This 864-nucleotide long non-coding RNA is filed under the name Homo sapiens (human). RNAcentral's name for it is "HSALNT0015318". Lineage: Eukaryota; Metazoa; Chordata; Mammalia; Primates; Hominidae. The record is from RNAcentral.